CCUACGGGUGGCAGCAGUGGGGAAUAUUGGACAAUGGGGGGAACCCUGAUCCAGCCAUGCCGCGUGUGUGAAGAAGGCCCUCGGGUUGUAAAGCACUUUCAGUGAGGAAGAACGCCUGGUGGUUAAUACCCAUCAGGAAAGACAUCACUCACAGAAGAAGCACCGGCUAACUCCGUGCCAGCAGCCGCGGUAAUACGGAGGGUGCGAGCGUUAAUCGGAAUUACUGGGCGUAAAGCGCGCGUAGGUGGCUUGAUAAGCCGGUUGUGAAAGCCCCGGGCUCAACCUGGGAACGGCAUCCGGAACUGUCAAGCUCGAGUGCAGGAGAGGAAGGUAGAAUUCCCGGUGUAGCGGUGAAAUGCGUAGAGAUCGGGAGGAAUACCAGUGGCGAAGGCGGCCUUCUGGACUGACACUGACGCUGAGGUGCGAAAGCGUGGGUAGCAAACAGGAUUAGAUACCCUAGUAGUC
Molecule: ribosomal RNA, 465 nt
Filed under: Vreelandella stevensii
Lineage: Bacteria; Pseudomonadati; Pseudomonadota; Gammaproteobacteria; Oceanospirillales; Halomonadaceae
Description: partial 16S ribosomal RNA
Rfam family: Bacterial small subunit ribosomal RNA
Source: RNAcentral